This 265-nucleotide unclassified non-coding RNA is filed under the name uncultured fungus. Its description in RNAcentral is "sequence contains ITS1". Lineage: Eukaryota; Fungi. The record is from RNAcentral.
UUAAGUGUCAUUCGACUGCGCUCUCAGACGUUCUAAAUGCUACUUUGCACGAAGUGUUUUCAAGUGUGCCGCCGGCAGGCUGACCCUCCCCCCGCCGCGAAGGCGAGAAGGAGGCGCUGCCGAAGCAACAAAGGUUUUCACAGAGGGUUCACCGUUCCGGCGCCUCCCGGGGGAAACCGGGGGACGCCUUCUGGCUACGGGUUUUUAGACGGCCCCCGGGGCCCUUCAUUUUUUAAUGAUCCUUCCGCAGGUUCACCUACGGAAA